Molecule: transfer RNA, 74 nt
Filed under: Salmo salar (Atlantic salmon)
Lineage: Eukaryota; Metazoa; Chordata; Actinopteri; Salmoniformes; Salmonidae
Also listed under: 1 other name
Rfam family: tRNA
About the family: Transfer RNA (tRNA) molecules are approximately 80 nucleotides in length. Their secondary structure includes four short double-helical elements and three loops (D, anti-codon, and T loops).
Source: Rfam by way of RNAcentral
AGAGCUGUGGCUCAGUCGGUGGAGCAUGGCACUUGCAAUGCCAAGGGCCGUGGGUUCGAUUCCCGCUUGGGCCA